RNAcentral lists this long non-coding RNA (1261 nucleotides) under Musa acuminata (dwarf banana). Its description in RNAcentral is "long non-coding RNA (MACU_LNC011889)". The record is from RNAcentral. Lineage: Eukaryota; Viridiplantae; Streptophyta; Magnoliopsida; Zingiberales; Musaceae.
UAGUAAGGAAUCCAGUUAUCUUUCUUAUAGAUAUAGGAAGAAUUCAUUCUAUGCUUUUAAGCGGGAAGUAGUAGGCAGGUAAUUCUAUGCUUUUAAGCGGGAAGUAGUAGGCAGGUAGGCAAUAGCAGUUAGAGUGGAGUCUACAGGUUAGGAAUCAAGAUCUUCAGCAUCAAUUAGUUAUUAAAGUAGAGCAAGAGGCGAGGCAAGAUAGCACAUAUUUCUCCUUAAAUGGAAAACCCUGGCUUUGAUACAGAAGCUUUAGUGUUAGAAGUCUCUUCAUCCGGAGAAGGGGAAUCUAAAGGAUUGCAACUACCGGGUGGGGGGUGCUCUAAAGAGAAAUAAUGAAUGCAGUCAACCACUGAGGAAUAGAAUUGGAAGACAUGGGCGCUGCGCCUUUACCCUUAAACAAAUAGUGGAGCUAUACUAAUUAGUAGACAAAAGCAGACAAGCAUAAUGUAGUUGUGCUAAAGUUGUGACAAGUCCUGUUGUUGCCCCCUAGGCUCAUUCUGAUGUUUCUUAUCUGUCAACAACAAAACACUGCCGCUUUAACAUUAGUAGGUAGAGAAGUUAUUGACUUUCCCGAGUCGGUAGAUAGAGGUGAUUUUACGAAACCCUGGGAAUUAUUGAACUGAACAGAUUGAUUGUCCAACUCUAGCUCGUAGGUGUGAGUGUUCCCUUGCGCGUACCCAGUUGAUUACUUUGAUCUAUCUAUACCUUAUAGCAGCUUCAUAUCCUUAAAUGAAUUCUCCUAUUUUGAUUCUAUUGUAGAUGAGACUCGAACUUAAUUGAAUUGCCUGGCCUUGCCUUCUACACAAGGAGCUGAAAGCCACUGCAUUCUCUUCAACAACUACUUUCUCUUUCGAGCAAGCAUCACUCUGUCAAACUCAUAACUUAUAUUUCCAGAACUCCUUAUUACGCGAGAUCACCUUUUUCAUUUCACUGCAAGACCUCUUAUUAUGAUUCUCAUACCGCAACAAAACAACUCCUUUCUUUUUCCAUUCUCAAUCUAUACUAUAGUGUAUUCCCUUCACCUAAGCUUAUUUACUUGUUCUGUUGACUAAGCUUAUUUACUUGUUCUGUUGACAUUGAAAGCCCUAGUGCUAACGCCGUUGCUAUACCUGAUUACUUGCUCUGCUCUUGCAUGUUCUGUUUACAUUGAACUUAGUGCGUUAUCUGUUUCGUAACUCGUUAACAUCGGUUCGGUUGUUUUUCUUGCUUAGUAGUUUGUUGAAUAUCAUUUCAUUGAAUCUCUCUCCUCUCC